UGGGGAAUUUUGGACAAUGGGGGAAACCCUGAUCCAGCCAUCCCGCGUGUUCGAUGAAGGCCUUCGGGUUGUAAAGCACUUUUGGCAGGAAAGAAACGUCAUGGGUUAAUACCCCGUGAAACUGACGGUACCUGCAGAAUAAGCACCGGCUAACUACGUGCCAGCAGCCGCGGUAAUACGUAGGGUGCAAGCGUUAAUCGGAAUUACUGGGCGUAAAGCGUGCGCAGGCGGUUCGGAAAGAAAGAUGUGAAAUAACAGAGCUCAACUUUGGAACUGCAUUUUUAACUACCGGGCUAGAGUGUGUCAGAGGGAGGUGGAAUUCCGCGUGUAGCAGUGAAAUGCGUAGAUAUGCGGAGCAACACAGAUGGCGAAGGCAGCCUCCUGGGAUAACACUGCCACUCAUGCAAGAAAGCGUGGGGAGCAAACAGG
This 429-nucleotide ribosomal RNA is filed under the name Acidobacteriota bacterium. Its description in RNAcentral is "Acidobacteria bacterium partial 16S ribosomal RNA". It matches the Rfam family "Bacterial small subunit ribosomal RNA", at positions 355 to 776 of the family's 1533-position model. Lineage: Bacteria; Pseudomonadati; Acidobacteriota. The record is from RNAcentral.